Molecule: unclassified non-coding RNA, 196 nt
Filed under: uncultured Russula
Lineage: Eukaryota; Fungi; Basidiomycota; Agaricomycetes; Russulales; Russulaceae
Description: sequence contains ITS1
Source: RNAcentral
UCGUACAACGGAGGUGUGAGGGCUGUCGCUGACCUUCAAAGGUUGUGCACGCCCAAGCACUCUCUCACAUCCAUUUCACCCCCAUUUGUGCAUCACCGCGUGGGCCUCCUCUUUACGGAGAGGGCUUGCGUUUUCACAUCAAACUUGAUACAGUGUAGAAUGUCUUUUUUUUGCUUGCGGUCACACGCAAUCAAUA